GUGGGGAAUCUUGCGCAAUGGGCGAAAGCCUGACGCAGCCAUGCCGCGUGAAUGAUGAAGGUCUUAGGAUUGUAAAAUUCUUUCACCGGGGACGAUAAUGACGGUACCCGGAGAAGAAGCCCCGGCUAACUUCGUGCCAGCAGCCGCGGUAAUACGAAGGGGGCUAGCGUUGCUCGGAAUUACUGGGCGUAAAGGGCGCGUAGGCGGACAGUUUAGUCAGAGGUGAAAGCCCAGGGCUCAACCUUGGAAUUGCCUUUGAUACUGACUGUCUUGAGUACGGGAGAGGUGAGUGGAACUCCGAGUGUAGAGGUGAAAUUCGUAGAUAUUCGGAAGAACACCAGUGGCGAAGGCGACUCAAUGGCCCGUUACUGACGCUGAGGCGCGAAAGCGUGGGGAGCAAACAGGAUUAGAUACCCUUGUAGUCC
This 425-nucleotide ribosomal RNA is filed under the name uncultured bacterium. RNAcentral describes it as "partial 16S ribosomal RNA". It matches the Rfam family "Bacterial small subunit ribosomal RNA", at positions 354 to 796 of the family's 1533-position model. The record is from RNAcentral.